RNAcentral lists this ribosomal RNA (237 nucleotides) under uncultured bacterium. RNAcentral's name for it is "partial 16S ribosomal RNA". It matches the Rfam family "Bacterial small subunit ribosomal RNA", at positions 100 to 334 of the family's 1533-position model. The record is from RNAcentral.
CCGGCACGGGUGAGUAACACGUAUCCAACCUGCCGUCUACUCUUGGACAGCCUUCUGAAAGGAAGAUUAAUACAAGAUGGCAUCAUGAAUCCGCAUGUUCACAUGAUUAAAGGUAUUCCGGUAGACGAUGGGGAUGCGUUCCAUUAGAUAGUAGGCGGGGUAACGGCCCACCUAGUCUUCGAUGGAUAGGGGUUCUGAGAGGAAGGUCCCCCACAUUGGAACUGAGACACGGUCCAA